GGAACAACAUGCUCCCAAAAUGAAGUUUUAAAGGCUUCUGGGUUGUAUGGCAGAUUUGUAGCCUCAUGUGGCUUCACCCCGGAUGUGAAGGUUUGGGAAGUCUGCUUUGGAAAGAAGGGGGAGUUCCAGGAGGUGGUGCGAGCCUUCGAACUAAAGGGCCACUCUGCGGCUGUGCACUCGUUUGCUUUCUCCAACGACUCGCGGAGGAUGGCUUCUGUCUCCAAGGAUGGUACAUGGAAACUGUGGGACACAAAUGUGGAAUACAAGAAGCAGCAGGACCCCUACUUGCUGAAGACAGGCCGCUUUGAAGAGGCGGCGGGCGCCGCGCCGUGCCGCCUGGCCCUCUCCCCCAAUGCCCAGGUCUUGGCCUUGGCCAGUGGCAGUAGUAUUCAUCUCUACAAUACCCGGCGGGGCGAGAAGGAGGAGUGCUUUGAGCGGGUCCAUGGCGAGUGUAUCGCCAACUUGUCCUUUGACAUCACUGGCCGCUUUCUGGCCUCCUGUGGAGACCGAGCGGUGCGGCUCUUUCACAACACUCCUGGCCACCGGGCCAUGGUGGAGGAGAUGCAGGGCCACCUGAAGCGGGCCUCCAACGACAGCACCCGCCAGAGGCUGCAGCAGCAGCUGACCCAGGCCCAAGAGACCCUGAAGAGCCUGGGUGCCCUGAAGAAGUGACUCUGGGAGGGCCCGGCGCAGAGGAUUGAGGAGGAG
This 708-nucleotide small RNA is filed under the name Pongo abelii (Sumatran orangutan). RNAcentral describes it as "retained intron". Lineage: Eukaryota; Metazoa; Chordata; Mammalia; Primates; Hominidae. The record is from RNAcentral.